GACGAACGCUGGCGGCGUGCUUAACACAUGCAAGUCGAACGGAAAGGCCCUGCUUUUGUGGGGUGCUCGAGUGGCGAACGGGUGAGUAACACGUGAGUAACCUGCCCUUGACUUUGGGAUAACUUCAGGAAACUGGGGCUAAUACCGGAUAGGAGCUCCUGCUGCAUGGUGGGGGUUGGAAAGUUUCGGCGGUUGGGGAUGGACUCGCGGCUUAUCAGCUUGUUGGUGGGGUAGUGGCUUACCAAGGCUUUGACGGGUAGCCGGCCUGAGAGGGUGACCGGCCACAUUGGGACUGGGAUACGGCCCAGACUCCUACGGGAGGCAGCAGUGGGGAAUAUUGCACAAUGGGCGGAAGCCUGAUGCAGCAACGCCGCGUGCGGGAUGACGGCCUUCGGGUUGUAAACCGCUUUCGCCUGUGACGAAGCGUGAGUGACGGUAAUGGGUAAAGAAGCACCGGCUAACUACGUG
Molecule: ribosomal RNA, 468 nt
Filed under: uncultured bacterium
Lineage: Bacteria
Description: partial 16S ribosomal RNA
Rfam family: Bacterial small subunit ribosomal RNA
Source: RNAcentral